UCUACUCAUCAGCCUCUCCGAAAAACUAGAGUUACUAUUCACUUUAAGUGAUUAGUAUUUAUCGCGUAACUUCUCCAUUCAAACUCGUUUUCUUCUGAAACUUGAUGAGUGCUUAUGUAAUUAAAUUACACAUAAAAAUAUCGUCAAUAGGGAGUUUAGCUACACUGCCAAAAAUUCAGUCCUUACAGAAGAAUAUAUGUCUCAAAUUUCUAACUUCUUAGAAAUUUAAUUCUUCUACUAUUAAUUCUAUGGACAAUUCAUAAAUAUGCAUUUGA
Molecule: long non-coding RNA, 275 nt
Filed under: Ananas comosus (pineapple)
Lineage: Eukaryota; Viridiplantae; Streptophyta; Magnoliopsida; Poales; Bromeliaceae
Description: long non-coding RNA (ACOM_LNC019820)
Source: RNAcentral